RNAcentral lists this transfer RNA (64 nucleotides) under Scoloplos cf. armiger CB-2006. RNAcentral describes it as "tRNA-Gln". The record is from RNAcentral. Lineage: Eukaryota; Metazoa; Annelida; Polychaeta; Orbiniidae.
UGUGACCUAGUGUAAUAAAUGCACAUAGAACUUUGAAUUCUAUAGAGGGUAUCCCCGGUUACAA